RNAcentral lists this long non-coding RNA (2577 nucleotides) under Mus musculus (house mouse). RNAcentral describes it as "long non-coding RNA chr8:91493018-91495595". Lineage: Eukaryota; Metazoa; Chordata; Mammalia; Rodentia; Muridae. The record is from RNAcentral.
GCAUGUGUGAAUUCAGAAACCCGGAUGCCAGACUAGUGUGUCAGGCAUUGCCAUUUUUCCCAGAACAGACAAAGGCUAACACAUCAUAUACCUUCUUCCGUCCAGUGCUUUUUUAGAGGGCUUUGGUGGAGUGCUCCUUCAGUUACUCUCUGGUCUAUCACUCACCUGAUAGAAAACAAUCUGGGCUGUGUCCUAAGUGAAUCACAGCACAGAGAAUGAAGUGUUGUAAAAAUAAAUUAAAAAAAAAAAAAAAAGACAACAAGCUCACAGCUUUGAAAAGGAAGCAACCUCUAUCCACAUUUGUUUUUUGCUGUUUUAAUCCCCAAGUUAGUUAUCAAGUAGUCCCAAAAACUACGGUGAUUUCCAGCCAGAGCUUGUAGACUACACAGUGCAUCCAGAAUAGAGGUUCGAGAGGUUGGUGUUACUCCCCUUGCUCAGAGGUGUCGGUUGGGAUUCGACCCCCAGCCCCAGUUCCAUCCCAGAGCCAAGGGGACUCUCAGGAGUGUGGAGCACAGGGCUACUCUUGCAGUGUUCCCAUCCACCAAGUGUUAAGUAUUUGGGAGGUGGGACUGGGAAUCUUGCCAUAGUUUUGCAAAAGUGUCCUUAUGGAAAAAUGUGCUCAAACUGCUAAAAAGCUCGCUUCUCUGAGAACUAUGGGAAUGCGUGCGGUUGUCUCUCCCAUACAGCCAGGGUAAAAUAGCUACAAUCCUGCUUUUCCUCAUUAUAUCUGAAAAGCAACGAGCCUGCACUCUCUGGACAGGGGCUGUGAUGUGCCGCCUUUUGGUUCUCCUACAAGCACCUGUGUAAUCACUACUCCCUGACGAUUUUAAUUCCAGUUUUACCUAACAAGUCAGUCAGGGUCCACUUUCUCUCCCGAUCUCAGCCUCAUCUGGAACCGCCUGUGACCAUCUCGUUUGUACGUCUUUUCUCAGUAUGUAUCAAAGGCUCAGAUAGAUGACCUCCUGCUUGGUUUUCAUUGGUUAACAAAAUUAGCUUCCAAAUUAAGAAAUGGGGGUUAUGAAGUCAGCUCUGAAAGGGAAGUGCCUAUGUUUCAGAUAUAUCUGCUUUAGCUGUAGGAACUUGGAGCUCCUGGUUUCUUGACAGCCUUGUUACUUAAGCAUUGCUAAUUUAAAUGAAGAAUUACAGAAUACCCACAAUUAUUCAUCAGAUGUUAACAGAUGUUUGGGAGAGCUAAGAGGUUGCAUUUUAUUUAAUGCUCCUAGACUAGUUCUUCUCACUCUGUAGGUUGCAACCCCAUUUGAAAAAUCUCUAUUUCCCAGAAUAUUUACAUUACGAUUUACAACAAGAGCAAAUUUACAGUUAUGAAGUAGCAACGAAAUCAUUUUAUGACUGGGGGUCACCACAGCAUGAGGGACUAUAUUAAAGGGACACAGCAUUAGAAAGGUUGAGAGGUGCCACCCUGAACUGUUGAUGAGGUAGCAAUGAGCUUCAUAAAGAAUGGCCCUAGAACACCUGCUGCCCACAGUGAAGCCAUGUUUCCUCAGCACUGAAGAGUCGUGUCCUGUGUUGGGAUGGGUGGACGCCACCCUGUAGCAAGUGCUUCAAAUUAGGCACAUCUCAAGUCCCUGACCUCUCCUCGGUCUCACAGGUCAGCAACUGCGUAUCCUGUGGUCUGCCCUAAGCUUGAGUAUCCUCUUGAUUGCACUCCAAGUCUAAACAAGUUCUCUUUUCAAAAUACACUUGUCACCUGGCCAACCUUCACCACCUCCUGUGAAUGCAGCCUUGCCGUUUAUGGGAACUGCCCUGUAACCAGCCUUCCAGCACCUAGUAAACUGUACCGGCUACCCAUCUGUAGCUAGGGCUCCUUUAAAAUGAGUCACUGGCCUGGUCCAGACCUCCCAUGGCACUCAGAAUUCCAUCUUCCUUGAGUGGCUUUCUGAGCCUCAGGACCCACAUUUCGGCAGCCACUGUCUUUGUGUUUAUUUUGCCUCUGGACUAUUCUCUGCCUUUCUGUUCCCAUCCCUCCAGCGCAUGUUGUCUUGUCUCAUCCUUGGAGAGAGUCUCUGGCUGAGCUCACCCUUCUUGCAGGGUGCCCCGCCCUCUCUGCUUGCUCCAUAGCACCUCACCUUUACACAGGGAAUUUCCUUAUUGUCUGCUUCAACUCUUUCAGCCCCACCCCCAGCUCCUGGGGUGCUGGCUGGCACACAGUAGGUGCUUACUUACACUUAUAGAAAGGAGAACUAGAUGUGAGGUCGGUGUUGUGGGGAGUAGGGAAGCCUGACCUCUGGUAAGUUUCCUCAAAAUUACCUCCUAAUUAAAGGGUUAUUUUAGAAAAUAAGUUCUCCACUUAGAGAGCCCUGAGGACAGCACUGACAGCCGCCUGCCUGCGCAGCAGCUCUGAGGGCCAGUGAGAGAGUACAGAGGCAGGUUGUGUGCCUUUGGCAUUUCUAGCUGAGAAGAUUGAGAAAUCACUGGUAAAUGACUUGUGUAAAUAUGGAGAUUUUUUUUUUAAAUGAGAGAAAUAGGCUUUUAGUUUCCCAGAGUCAUUGUAUUGCCACAACUUAAGAAGGCUUUGUCUCCUUUCUGGCAUCAUCCAUGUCUUAGAGUUCCCUACUC